RNAcentral lists this unclassified non-coding RNA (349 nucleotides) under soil metagenome. RNAcentral's name for it is "partial contains 5.8S ribosomal RNA, internal transcribed spacer 2, and large subunit ribosomal RNA". The stretch from base 1 to 120 matches the Rfam family "5.8S ribosomal RNA", at positions 35 to 154 of the family's 154-position model. The record is from RNAcentral.
GAUGAAGAACGUAGCGAAAUGCGAUAAGUAAUGUGAAUUGCAGAAUUCAGUGAAUCAUCGAAUCUUUGAACGCACAUUGCGCCCGGCAGUAAUCUGCCGGGCAUGCCUGUCCGAGCGUCAUUUCACCCCUCGAGCCGCUUUUAGUGGAUCGGUGUUGGGGCACUACGGUAAAACGUAGGCCCUGAAAUGAAGUGGCGGUCCCGCCGCGGUGCCCCCAUGCGUAGUAACGUUUAGUCUCGCAUCGGGUCCCGGCGGAGGCCUGCCGUCAAGCCUAUUUACUCUCAGAAUAGUUUGACCUCGGAUCAGGUAGGGUUACCCGCUGAACUUAAGCAUAUCAAUAAGCGGAGGA